UACGUAGGUGGCAAGCGUUGUCCGGAUUUAUUGGGGCGUAAAGGGAGCGCAGGCGGUGACUUAAGUCUGAUGUGAAAGCCCACGGCUCAACCGUGGAAGGUCAUUGGAAACUGGGUCACUUGAAUACAGAAGAGGAAAGUGGAAUUCCAUGUGUAGCGGUGAAAUGCGUAGAUAUAUGGAGGAACACCAGUGGCGAAGGCGACUUUCUGGUCUGUUAUUGACGCUGAGGCUCGAAAGCAUGGGUAGCAAACAGGAUUAGAUACCCCGGUAGU
RNAcentral lists this ribosomal RNA (272 nucleotides) under uncultured prokaryote. RNAcentral describes it as "partial 16S ribosomal RNA". It matches the Rfam family "Bacterial small subunit ribosomal RNA", at positions 524 to 794 of the family's 1533-position model. The record is from RNAcentral.